This 164-nucleotide ribosomal RNA is filed under the name uncultured bacterium. Its description in RNAcentral is "partial 16S ribosomal RNA". It matches the Rfam family "Bacterial small subunit ribosomal RNA", at positions 355 to 511 of the family's 1533-position model. The record is from RNAcentral.
UAGGGAAUCUUCCACAAUGGACGGAAGUCUGAUGGAGCAACGCCGCGUGAGUGAAGAAGGGUUUCGGCUCGUAAAACUCUGUUGUUAAAGAAGAACAUAUCUGAGAGUAACUGUUCAGGUAUUGACGGUAUUUAACCAGAAAGCCACGGCUAACUACGUGCCUG